AGGGAUCAGUGUCAUUUAGGGAUGUGACUAUGGGCUUCACUCAAGAGGAGUGGCAGCAUCUGGACCCUGCUCAGAGGACCCUGUACAGGAAUGUGAUGCUGGAGAACUACAGCCACCUUGUCUCAGUAGGGUAUUGCAUUCCUAAACCAGAAGUGAUCCUCAAAUUGGAGACAGGCAAGGAGCCAUGGAUAUUAGAGGAAAAAUUUCGAAGCCAGAGUCAUCUGGGUGGGUUAGUGCCAGAUGGAAUUUAAAGAAUUAAUUAAUACCAGUAGAAACUAUUCAAGAACGAAGUUCAAUGAGUUUAACAAAGGUGGAAAAUGUUUCUGUGAUGAAAGCAUGAAAUAAUUCAUUUUGAAGAGGAACCUUCUGAAUAUAAUAAAAAUGGGAACAGCUUCUGGCUGAAUGAAGACCUCAUUUGGCAUCAGAAGAUUAAAAAUUGGGAGCAACCUUUUGAAUACAAUGAAUGUGGGAAAGCUUUCCCUGAGAAUUCACUCUUCCUUGUACAUAAGAGAGCUUACACAGGACAGAAAACAUGCAAAUAUACUGAACAUGGGAAAACCUGUUAUAUGUCAUUUUUUAUUACUCAUCAGCAAACACAUCCAAGAGAGAACCACUAUGAAUGUAAUGAAUGUGGAGAAAGUAUCUUUGAGGAAUCCAUUCUCUUUGAACAUCAGAAUGUUUACCCAUUCAGCCAGAAUUUAAAUCCCACUCUAAUUCCGAGAACCCACUCAAUUAGCAAUAUUAUUGAAUAUAAUGAAUGUGGAACCUUUUUCAGUGAAAAAUUAGCCCUUCAUUUACAACAGAGAACACAUCCAGGGGAAAAACCUUAUGAAUAUCAUGAAUGUGGAAAAACCUUCACCCAGAAGUCAGCCCACACAAGACAUCAGAGAACACACACAGGGAAAACCCUAUGAAUGUCAUGGAUGUGGGAAGACCUUCUAUAAGAAUUCAGACCUCAUUAGAAAUCAAAGAAUUCACACAGGGGAGAGACCUUACAGAUGUCAUGAAUGGAGAAAUCCUUCAGUGAAAAGUCAUCCCUUACUCAACAUCAGAGAACACACGCGGGGAGAAAUCAUAUGAAUGUCAUGAAUGUGGGAAAACCUCGUUUAAGUCAGUUCUAACUGUGCAUCAGAAAACACACAGGGGAGAAGCCCUAUGAAUGCUAUGCAUGUGGGAACACCUUUCUUGGAAAAUCCGACCUCAUUAAACAUCAGAGAAUUCACACAGGAGAAAAACCUUAUGAAUGUAAUGAAUGUGGGAAGUCAUUCUCUGAGAAGUCAACCCUUACUAAACAUCUAAGAACACACAGAUGGGAAAUCUUAUGAAUGUAUUCAAUGUGGAAAAUUUUUCUGCUGCUACUACAGUUUCACAGAACAUCUGAGAAGACACACAGGGGAGAAACCUUUUGGAUGUAAUGAAUGUGGGAAAACCUUCCAUCAGAAGUCGGCCCUAAUUGUUCACCAGAGAACUCAUAUAAGACAGAAACCCUAUGGAUGUAAUGAAUAUGGAAAAUCAUUCUGUGUGAAGUCAAAACUCAUUGCACAUCAUAGAACAUACAAAGGGGAGAAACCCUAUGAAUGUAAUGUUUGUGGAAAAUUAUUAUUAAGUCAAAACUAACUGUACAUCACAGAACACACUUGAGGUGAAACCCUAUAAAUGUAGUAAGUGAGGGAAAUUACUCUGGGUGAAGUCAGAACUUUGUAGAGCAGAGAACAUAAAGGGUGAGAGAAAUCUGUUAAUAUAAUGAUAAUGAGAACACCUUUGCCCUGAAGUCAGUUCUCACAGUAGAGAAGAGAACUUAAAGAGGGAAAAAACAAUAUGAAGAUAUGGAAUGCAGGAAAACAUUAUUCUGGGAUUUGGGCCAUAGAUUAUGUUUAAAAACUAAAAGUGAAAAACACUUAUUGGUGAAUGAAUAUAGGAAACAUUUUGCUCAAUGCCACACCUCAGUAAACAUCAGAGAGUUCACACAGGGUGAAACCUGGCUCAGCAUCCCUAAGUUGAGAAGGGAUGCAUUUUUUUUUGCUACUACUACAGUUUCACAGAAUAUCUGAGAAGACACACAGGGGAGAAACUUUUUGGGUGUAAUGAAUGUGGGAAAACCUUUCACCAGAAGUGAGCCCUAAUUGUUCACCACAGAACUCAUAUAAGACAGAAACCCUAUGGAUGUAAUGAAUGUGGAAAAUCAUUCUGUGUGAAGUCAAGAGGCCACAGAAAAUGCACAAACUAUAGGAAAGCAUUUACUAUGAGGUUAUAUUUUAUAGAGUAUAUGUAAUAAGAAGUACCUUCUUAGUGAACAUCAGAUAGUAGAGGAAGUAUUUUUAACUGUAUCCAAUGUGUGGACAUUUUAGGUUAAAAUCUAAAUUUAAUAUAGACCAGAGGUGUUGAAUUGCAGGAUAUCUAGCAAUUUAAGAAAAUGUAGAGAAAAGGUUUUUUUUGUUUUUU
This 2442-nucleotide long non-coding RNA is filed under the name Pan troglodytes (chimpanzee). RNAcentral describes it as "long non-coding RNA NONPTRT002132". The record is from RNAcentral. Lineage: Eukaryota; Metazoa; Chordata; Mammalia; Primates; Hominidae.